GACGAACGCUGGCGGCGUGCUUAACACAUGCAGGUCGAACGGAAAGGCCUGCUUUCCCUUGUGGAUUGCGGGUACUCGAGUGGCGAACGGGUGAGUAACACGUGAGUGAUCUGCCCCCAACUUGGGUAUAAGCCUGGGAAACUGGGUCUAAUUCCCGAUAGGACUGCAGGGUGGUGCCUGUGGUGGAAAACGAUUUUCUAGUGGUUGGGGAUGAGCUCGCGGCCUAUCAGCUUGUUGGUGGGGUAAUGGCCUACCAAGGCGGCGACGGGUAGCCGGCCUGAGAGGGUGACGGCCACAUUGGGACUGAGAUACGGCCCAGACUCCUACGGGAGGCAGCAGUGGGGAAUAUUGCACAAUGGGCGGAAGCCUGAUGCAGCGACGCCGCGUGGGGGAUGACGGCCUUCGGGUUGUAAACUCCUUUCGACCGCGAGGAAGCCACCUGGUUGGAAGGGUGGUGACGGUAGUGGUAGAAGAAGCACCGGCUAACUACGUG
Molecule: ribosomal RNA, 493 nt
Filed under: uncultured bacterium
Lineage: Bacteria
Description: partial 16S ribosomal RNA
Rfam family: Bacterial small subunit ribosomal RNA
Source: RNAcentral